AUGGCGCGCAGCGGAGGGGGCUGCUGCCCCUCGAUGGAUCUGAUGCGGUCGGAGGCGAUGCAGCUCCUGCAGGUCAUCAUCCCCACCGAGUCCGCGCACCUCGCCGUCUCCCACCUCGGCGAUCUGGGCCUCAUCCAGUUCAAAGACCUCAACGCAGACAAGAGCCCGUUUCAACGCACCUAUGCUGCCCAGAUCAAAAGGUGUGCUGAAAUGGCCCGCAAGCUGCGAUUUUUUAAGGAACAAAUGUCAAAAGCUGGAAUACUAGUUUCUCCUAUGCAAUCAGCCGAAACUCCUCUGGAUUUUGAUGACAUGGAGGUAAAGCUUGGAGAACUGGAAGCUGAACUAACUGAAGUAAAUGCAAACGAUGAAAAAUUACAACGGGCCCACAAUGAGCUACUGGAGUACAAUACUGUUCUUCAAAAGGCUGGUGAGUUUUUCUAUUCAGCUCAAAGAAGCGCUGCAGCACAACACAGGCAAAUGGAAGCAAAUCAAUCUGGUGAGACUUCCCUGGAGAGUCCUCUGUUGGAGCAGGAUAUGUUAACAGACGCAUCGAAACAAGUGAAACUUGGCUCUUUGAGUGGUCUUGUGCCAAAGGAAAAGGCCAUGGCUUUUGAACGUAUCUUAUUCCGUACCACAAGGGGCAACAUUUUGCUCAGACAAGAGUCUGUUGACGAACCUGUCACUGAUCCGCAAUCCGGAGAAAAGGUGUACAAAAAUACAUUUGUCGUAUUCUACUCUGGGGAGAGGGCAAAGGCCAAAAUUCUGAAGAUAUGUGAUGCUUUUCGUGCAAACCGUUACCCUUUUCCUGAAGACCUUGCUAAACAAACACAUACUGUUCAGGAGGUAUCUGGAAAGAUAUCAGAGUUAAAGGCAACAAUUGACAUGGGAUUAGCUCAUCGUGACAGUAUACUCAAAACUAUUGCAUCAGAGUUUGAGCAUUGGAACCAUCUGGCCAAAAAGGAAAAAUCAAUUUACCACACUCUAAACAUGUUGAGCGUUGAUGUGACGAAGAAAUGCUUAGUUGGUGAGGGCUGGAGUCCAGUUUUCGCAGCUAAUCAGAUUCAGGAUGCACUUCAGCGUGCUACUCUCGAGAGCAAAUCCCAAGUUGGCUCGAUUUUUCAGGUCCUUAACACAAAAGAGUCUCCUCCAACAUAUUUCCAAACAAACAAAUUUACCUCAGCCUUCCAGGAAAUUGUUGACGCAUAUGGAGUAGCUAAGUAUCAAGAAGCGAAUCCUGGUGUAUACACUAUUAUCACUUUUCCUUUCUUAUUUGCUGUCAUGUUUGGAGAUUGGGGUCAUGGAAUUUGCAUAUUACUUGCGACACUCUAUCUGAUAAUCCGAGAGAAGAAAUUCGCUUCACAGAAACUUGGAGACAUAAUGGAGAUGAUGUUUGGAGGCCGCUACAUAAUUAUGAUGAUGUCAAUUUUCUCAAUCUACACAGGAUUAAUAUACAAUGAGUUUUUCUCCGUUCCAUUUGAACUUUUUGCUAAAUCAGCCUAUGCAUGCCGCGAUUCUUCUUGUAGUGAUUCUACUACUGAAGGGUUAAUCAAGGUAAGGGAUACUUACCCGUUCGGCGUGGACCCUGUGUGGCAUGGUAGUCGAAGUGAGCUGCCAUUUCUCAACUCACUGAAGAUGAAAAUGUCAAUUCUUCUUGGAGUGUCACAAAUGAACCUUGGAAUUUUUAUGAGUUACUUUAAUGCGAAAUUCUUCAGGAACAGGGUUAAUAUCUGGUACCAGUUUGUUCCCCAGCUGAUCUUCUUGAACAGCUUGUUUGGCUACCUAUCCAUGCUUAUCAUCAUUAAGUGGUGCACAGGGUCAAAAGCAGAUCUGUACCAUGUUAUGAUAUAUAUGUUCCUUAGCCCCACAGAUGACAUGGGAGAGAACCAGUUAUUUCCUGGCCAGAAAACUUUACAGCAAGUUUUGCUUCUACUUGCUCUGGUAUCUGUUCCCUGGAUGCUGAUUCCGAAGCCAUUUUUCUUGAAAUGGGAACAUGAGCGAAGGCAUCAAGGACAUCAGUACGCCAUGCUUGAGGGUGCAGAUGAAUCAGUUGUAGCAGAGUUAGGGGAGCAUAAUGAAGAAUCGAACCACCAUGAGGAGUUUGAGUUCAGUGAAAUAUUUGUUCACCAGCUGAUCCAUACAAUUGAGUUUGUUCUUGGUGCAGUCUCAAAUACUGCUUCAUAUCUUCGUCUCUGGGCUCUCAGUCUUGCACACUCGGAGUUGUCCACUGUGUUCUAUGAUAAAGUUCUCCUUCUGACGUUGGGGUACAACAAUAUUUUUAUCCUUGCUAUCGGUGUCGUUGUCUUCAUCUGCGCCACUGUCGGUGUGUUGCUUGUUAUGGAGACCCUAAGCGCGUUCCUUCACGCCUUGAGGCUCCAUUGGGUGGAGUUCCAGAACAAGUUCUAUGAGGGUGAUGGUUACAAGUUCGCACCAUUCUCGUUUGCUCUAAUCAGUGAGGAUGAAGAGUGA
Molecule: ribosomal RNA, 2466 nt
Filed under: Triticum aestivum (bread wheat)
Lineage: Eukaryota; Viridiplantae; Streptophyta; Magnoliopsida; Poales; Poaceae
Description: partial small subunit ribosomal RNA
Source: RNAcentral